RNAcentral lists this ribosomal RNA (253 nucleotides) under uncultured bacterium. RNAcentral describes it as "partial 16S ribosomal RNA". It matches the Rfam family "Bacterial small subunit ribosomal RNA", at positions 524 to 776 of the family's 1533-position model. The record is from RNAcentral.
UACAGAGGUCCCAAGCGUUGUUCGGAUUCACUGGGCGUAAAGGGUGCGUAGGUGGUGAGGUAAGUCGGAUGUGAAAUCUCCGAGCUCAACUCGGAAAUGGCAUUGGAAACUACCUUGCUCGAGGGUUGGAGGGGGGACUGGAAUGCUUCGUGUAGCAGUGAAAUGCGUAGAUAUCAAGCGGAACACCAGUGGCGAAGGCGAGUCCCUGGACAACUCCUGACACUGAGGCACGAAAGCUAGGGGAGCAAACAGG